UUCCCUGUGGCUCAGUUGGUAGAGCAUGGUGUUUGCAACGCCAGCAUGGUGUGUGCAACGCCAGGGUUGUGGGUUCGAUUCCCACGGGGGUAG
Molecule: transfer RNA, 93 nt
Filed under: Salmo salar (Atlantic salmon)
Lineage: Eukaryota; Metazoa; Chordata; Actinopteri; Salmoniformes; Salmonidae
Rfam family: tRNA
About the family: Transfer RNA (tRNA) molecules are approximately 80 nucleotides in length.
Source: Rfam by way of RNAcentral